RNAcentral lists this long non-coding RNA (39791 nucleotides) under Phaseolus vulgaris (common bean). RNAcentral describes it as "long non-coding RNA (PVUL_LNC004840)". Lineage: Eukaryota; Viridiplantae; Streptophyta; Magnoliopsida; Fabales; Fabaceae. The record is from RNAcentral.
UUAAUAUUUGGUUUAGGAUCACUCACCGCAUUGAAGCUUCUGGUUAGAAGAGUCGAAAUAGCAAUAGCUAUCAUCAUCUGGACAAAGAUUCUGACAGGCGAGUUUUAUCCAUGAAAUCUCGAAUCCAUAGGCGAGUGCGGUGUGCAUGGAAGAGUAGGAAUGGUAAUCGAAAGUGGAGAGAGAAGUGGGAGCAACAAGCUUUACCUCACACCCAACUUCUAAGUCCUCAGCUUUUAGGUCUCCACCAAUUGCAUAUGAAUACCCCUUCCCCUCCCACUUCACCCACUCUCCACUCUCCACAUACUUCCCUUUCUCUCUCACCCAAUCAUUACAAUUCACAAACACUAUAUGCGAGAAACUUCCUUAUUGGGAAAUGAGGAUAGAAAAAUUGUUUGUUUCCCAUAAAGUAAAGAAGGAAAGAAAGAUACAAAAGAAAAGAGAGGAAGAUGAAAGGGAAGCUAAAGAAAAAGAAAAACCAAGUGAGGGGUGGUGUGAAUCUAGAAAGAAUGAGGAAUAUCUUAUAACACCCCUUACAAGCAUAUUCAAAAUGGAAAAUCAAGAGAAAAUCCUUGGGAAACAAAAGGCGUGGGAAAAGAGUGUUCCUUCUCACAAAGUCAUUCAACAAGAAGUAAAAGUUGAAAAUACCUUUGAAAACAUGUUUCUUGUUGAACAACCUAGCCUUACCUUUUGUAAAGGAACACUUGCAAGCAUAGUGAAAAAAGAAGAAUCCUUAAAAGAGACUUGCAUAGAUAAAGAUGUAGUGGAUUAUUUCUCAUAUGUGCUAGGAUAUCACCAAGUGAAUGUCAAGUUAUCUAUAAGCAUCUACAAAAACAAAUUUUUAUGUGAGGUAGUGCCUAAAGAAACUUGUCAUGUCUUAUUGAGACAACCAUUGCAAAGUGUACAAAUUCUCAUAAACAAUGGUUGUAACAACGAGACUAUCUUUACACAUAAGAGAAAAAUUCUUCAUGAAGGAGAACUCAUGGGCCAAAUUAGAGUUGAUAAAACUCUAGAGCUUUUAAAAGGAAAACUUUUGUCCCCCAUGAGAAAAGAUGUUCAAAGACAUUACCCUAGAUACAUAUCUUGUUUUAAAACUACACCUAAGCCAAUGUCUCAUGAACUCUAUACUCCUUCACCUUUUGCAAAUGAUCCUUGGGAAGACACAAAUUUCAUAUUAGAGCUUCCUAGGACAACAAAAGGUUUUGAUUCCAUUUUCAUGGAUAUGGAUAAACUCUUCCUUAGAGAAGUGACAAAUCUUCAUGGUUUAUCAUCAAACAUAGUGUUGGCUAGAGCUCCAAAUUUUGAAAAUCAUCAUUUGAGGAUUCUCUUGGAAAAACUUGAAACUAAGUUAUACACUUUAAAUUCUUAUCAUCCUCAAAAGAAUGGUCAAAAUACAUUUGAAAACCUAGCUCUUUUUACUAUGCCUAAAGAAAUCAUGAAAGACAACCACAAUUCUUGGGAUGAGUAUCCUUUUCCUAAUAAGCAUGCAUACAAUGGAGUAGUCCACAAGACUACAAAUAUUUCUACAUUUGAAAUUGCAUGUGGACUUAAUCCUCUCUCGCUUUUUAAGUUGUUACCCUUUCCUAAAGGUAUUGUGCCUAAGGAAAAGGUAACCAAUAUUGAAAAUUUUCAAAUACAUAAGAGGAUUAGAGGACACAUAAAACCAUCAAAAGGAAAAUAUUGUGAAAAGUUGCCAAAAACAAAAGAAAAACAAAAAUGGCAACUUCAUACAAUUAAGUUCUCUCCAAUUGCUCACACUAACUCAUUUGCUUUGUUUCAAGAUUCCCAUAGAUGGACAUUUGAUCCGGGAGGACAAACCUUGACGAAGCAAGAGGCUGCUAUUCGAGAUCAAAUCUAUAGAUCUGGGGAUAUAUCUUCUCAAGAAGGAGGAGAUGAUGGACACCAUCCAGCCACAUCCAUCCCCCUAGAUGAAGAAAAAGCAUUGGAUUUGAGGAUAAAUCCUUUUCAAGAGGGAGGAGAUGAUGGAAGAGGCCCCAACACCAACCCUUUGAGAGGCCACCAAAAUGCUACCUUGAGGCAACCACUAGAGUCAUAGUCAAAGAGGGGUCAAGAGGACACAUUUUACAUGUCAUAGACUCUAGUGUGUCAUAGUUUUUCUUAUUUUCUAGUCAAAGUAGCAUAGUUUAAAUAUUUUUGUAAAUGUGUUGAAACAUGCAAAGUGGUACCUAAAAUGCUAACCUAAGUUUAAUUAGAGUUUCCUACUCCUAAUUAAACUUAGGUCCAUCCCACAAUUAGCCUAAGUGGAGCAUAAGGUUCUAGAACUCCUAGCACAUCUAAGAGGUUUUGUAGAUCAUCUAGCGGUUCUAGUGAAAUCGUUUAGCUACUCCUCUAACAAGACUAUAUAGCCUGUUUGCUAUGUUUUUUUUUUUUAUUUAUAUGUUUAUCUGUUGUAAUCUUAAGAGUGUGUGCAUCUCAUAUUCUGUUUUCCAGAAAUUUUGUUUUUCUUUUUUUUGUUUCUUGCUCUUGCGAGUUGCGCUUUUGUUUCAUUAAUCCGUGUGACUGUGUGUGUCAUGAAUUACCAUUUUUAAUAUGCUAGCAGAGUAGGUUGAAUGACCUGCUUUGCCUCCAAUGUUGUUUCAGUUCUUUUUCUUUCUUGUUGAAUAAUUGUUUUCUCUUGUAGACUAUUUUCUUCUUAUUGUCUUCUUCAUGUAUUUUUCUGAAACAGAAUACAGAAAGCAAGGUUUUGUUAUGAAUCUUUGCAAUAAUCCCGCAAGUUCAUAUUACUUGCAUCUUGGAGAAAAUUCUAGAACUGCGUUUAUCUCUCCUCAACUCAAUGGAGAAAAUCCCUUCACAUAAAGGGAAAAUUGUGGUAUUAAAGUUGACACCUCUCCUAAUUAAGUUUGAUGUUGUUGGUACUUAUCCCAUCAGAACCCUCCAAAAAAAGUUUUGAGCAUUCUAGAGUGCUCUGACAUUCUCAAAAAAAUUGAUUAAAGUAUUGUUAGCACUCACAUAGGUAUUUUUUAAUAUAGCAUAUGAUGACUUGAAAUAGAGAAUAACCUAGUAAUUUUUGUUUAAGGGUUACCUCUCCUAACCAUCCUUUCAAUAAGUGAUUGAUAGAUGUUAUUUAUUCACUUAUUUUUCUAAAUAUCCUUUCUGACGUUAUCGGUAAGUUCGAUAUUAAGCCUUUAAGGUUCGACCCGAGGCUUAGUAGGUUGUGUGGCGUUAUAGGUAAGUUUUGAUAUUAAGUCUCUAAGGCUCGGUCUGAGGCUAGUGGGAUGUAUGGCAUUAUAGGUAGAUUCUGAUCUAUAUAACGAUAAUUUGGAUUGAACGAGAGCCAAUCCUAGAAAAAUUCCUACGAUUAUAUAUUUUAUAGAUGAAUCCCAUUAAUGUCAUGUUUAAGAUAGUUUAAGGCAAGAAUAAAAUGUUAUAAAGGUAAUUUUGUCAUUUAAUAGUGAAUAAGGACUUAAAGUACGAUCAAAUACAAGAAAUGGGCGGAUCAAUAUAGCAUAAAAAGGAUAUACAAGGUAAAAAAAAAGGCAGAAUAAAAAUUGGGGUGAAUUGUUUUCACAAUAUUUUCGUAAUAUUGGAGUCAAUUAAUUGAUUGAUCAGUUCAACUAAUUAUAAAAAGCACAAUAAGUAUAUAUUCAAAAAUUAAACUAGUUGUUACGAGAAUUCAACCAAUUGAUUUAAACGCAAUAAGUAGAAAGUUAUUGAUAAAACAAAUAUCAGAGUAAGAGAGAGAUUGCACAGGAGAUUGCACAGGAGAUUUAUAUUUGUUCACUCUUACAUCCAUCAAGAGCUACAUCCAGUCCUCAGCAAAUUACUAAGAAUUCACUAAAGCAAACACACAAGGUUUACAAGAACACAAAACACUCUUAACCACAUACAAAAUUCAGAAACCCUAUCUGAAUCUGUUUACACCAAAUUGCAGUGAAAACAAUAAGAUUUGAAUACACCUCGAUUAUUACAAAUGAAGCACAAGAAAAAUGUAAACCCAGAAACCUUCUUUACCAAACAAGAAUGAUCCAAGAAGCAAACUCAAACUCCAAGAAUGAUUUUAAAACUUUCUAUUUUUUCUCUCUUAUGAAAAUCGUUUUUUGAAAUAAUCAGAUUACAUCCUUAUAUAAGGUAAUAAUGAUUGUAUAAGAAUUUUGAUCAUUUAAUGAAAACAAUUGUUUCAAUUAAAAAUGCAUUGAUUAAUAUAACAGAAUUAUGUUAAAAACAUUUAAUUGAUUUUCUUUAAAUAGAUGAAAUCAACAAAUUUUAAACCAGUUCUUUUAUCGAAAUAACUUAUUGAUUUCACUUAACAAAAAAGACAAACUAAAAGACAAAUCAUUUUUAAAUCCUUAAAAACCGUAAGUGUUUUAAACCGGAUUGAUACGAUAAAUCAAUAUGUUAAAAAUACUUACUAUAGUCAACAAACAUGAAUAGAAGUAAUUUCAACUUAUUAAUAUAUGAAUCAACUCAUUAAAAAAGACAGAUUUAGAAAACAAAACUUUUCAAGGAGAUUACUAUUCAAGUAACUUGGAUCAUUGUGUAAUGAAAAGUUAUAUAUAAAAAGCCAUGUUUGUUGAACUUUAAGCUCUAGAACGCAACAACACAUGGUAGAUGAUUUCUCUUCCACCGGGCACAAACCAAUCGGUUGUCGUUGGGUACAUAAAAUCAAGUAUAAUUUUGAUGGGACCAUUGAACGAUAUAAAGCUCGUUUGGUCGCCAAGGGCUUCACCCAGGUUGAAGGUAUAGACUAUAAGGAAACUUUUUCUCCUACUGCCAAGCUCACCACUAUUCGUUGUUUAUUAAUUGUUGCUUCCCGCAACUAGUAUACACAUCAACUUGAUGUGAACAAUUCAUUCAUUCAUGUGAAAUUACAAGAAGAGGUGUAUAUGACUCCAACUCCUGGUCUUCGCCCAUAGGGGGAGAAUCCGGUAUGUCUGCUUCACAAAUUAAUUUAUGGUUUAAAACAAGCAUCACGAAAUUGGUUCUCAACUUUUGCAACUACAGUUAAAUCUACUGGUUACAUACAAUCCAAGGCAGAUUAUUCACUUUUUACUAAAUCUCAAGGUAAAAAGUUUACUGUUAUUCUCAUUUACGUCGAUGACAUCCUUAAAAAAAUCUAUUUAAUGUAAAAUCAUUUGGAUUAAAGCUUACUAAAUAUUACUCUUUUGGUCAUGGAAAAGUUAUGCAAUCCAACACAUGAAAAAUAGAAAAGACAAGUAUUGUCUACACAAAAAUUGUAGAAUGUCAUCAUGCAUAUUCAGGUGGAAUGAGUUCAUGAUUCCGCAUUUGCAAACUUUGGAAAAAAAAAUAAAUUUAGUAACCCAUUUGUUCUAACUUUAUAGAUGUAAAAUAUUUAAUAGAGACAAAGAAGUGAAAAAUAUUAUAGAUGUACUUCUACUUAAAAUGACAAACAAGCUGAAUGUAAAACAAAUUUUUAUUAUACAUAACUAAAUAGUAUGCUUCACUAAAGGAUGAAUUGCAUGUAUACUUAUACUUUACAUGAAAUAAUUAGGAGAAGGAGUUCAAUUCAUUCGAUGUCGAGUUUAUUGUUUCACCAUCUCUACUCAAUUCAUCUAGAAAUAAAGCAGGCUUUGGAGGUAUUUCCAAGUCUUCAAUGUCUCCUUCAAGCAUUUCCACUACUCUAUUCAUUGAGGGUCGAUCGCUUGGUUUCAAUUGUAUGCACCAAAGAGACACUAUGAUCAUUUUCUUUGCUAUUAUCUUUUCCUCUUUAGUCAAAUAUUCCUUAUCUAUAUCUUCCUCAUCUUUGAUAUGAUCAUAGAUCCAAAGUGGAAAGUAAAGUUGACUUGAGUGGUCUACAUGGGGAUUUAGAUUCUUCCUCUUGCUCGCCAUCUCCAUCAAAAGCAUUCCAAAGCUAUAAACAUCAGCUUUAUGGGAUAUUCCUCCAAUAUUUUUGUAAAAUAGUUCUGGAGCCAUAUAUCCAAUGGUUCCUCUUGCUAUAGUCAUUGUGACGAUACUAUUAUCUAUUGGAUAUAACUUUGCCAAUCCAAAGUCAGAAACCUUAGGGAUAAAGUUUUCAUCUAGUAAGAUGUUAUGAGGUUUGAUGUCAAAAUGCAAAAUCUGCAUCUCACACCCAUGGUGGAGAUAAGCAAUCCCACGAGCCACUCCAAUUGAUAUAUUAUAUACAUUUUCAUAGCUUAAAUGUAUAUUUCUCUCUUUUGAGAAAAUAAAUUUAUCAAGAGAUCCAUUGGGCAUAAAUUCAUAAACAAGAGCACGCUUUGAGCCACUAACACAAAAUCCAAUUAACCGUACCACAUUUUGAUGAUGUAUUCUUCCAAUAGUCGCAACUUCAUUGAUAAAAUCUUGUCCAUUUGCUUUGGAUUUGCCUAACAUUUUGAUGGCCACAGAAGGCCCACUGCACAACUUUGCCUUAAAGACAUAGCCAAAUCCUCCUUCACCUAACUUCUCUUUGAAACCAGCAGACAUUUUCUUGAUUUCCUUAUAUGAAUAUCUAAUAGGUGCCAAGCUAUUUUGUUGAAGGUAAUUUUCAAUAUUUUCAUACAUUGAUGUAUGUCUUUUUCUCCAUUUACAUAUAAAAAUAACAAUUAAAAAUGGCAAUCCAAACAAAAGUUUGUAGACCCAUAAUAUAGAGAUAUACAUGAGAAUACCUGUAAUAAAUUUUUACUUUAGUGACACUUAUACUAUAAAAUGCAACAAGGUAUUUGUUAAAGUAAAUUUUCGUUCAUAAAGUCCAAACAUGACAUAUCUAUUUACUUGGUAACAUUACAAAAAGAGUAAAUUUAAUGUUUAGCAUAAACAAUUAUCAAUAAAUUUCUUUUUUUUAUGUUACUCUUUAUAUAAAUAAAUUUUUUCUGUAACAUUAAUGUGUCCUAAAACCUAAUUCAGUGAUGGUUGUAAAAUAUAAAAAAAAAACAGAUUUUUUUUAAAUAAUUUAUUUGUUUCUAUAAACAUUUUAAAUUCAAUUUGUGUUUCUUUAACUUUUUUAACGUAUUUACUAUAACUUUUUGUUAUUUACUACAACUUUUUGUCUUCUCUUAUUUCCUAACAUUAGUUCCUACAGGUUCGAUAUUCAUCAUUAAAAACAAAUUAUUACUUCUAAUUCGGUACACUUGCUGAAUUAAAGAGUAAUCAACUAUCCCAAAUAUUGAAUAAAUAACUUUCUUAAAGAGUAAAAAUCACAAUAUAAAAAAUGUUAUCAAAUAAAAAUUAGUCAUAAUAGAAAUUUCUUAACAGACUAUAAUCUAUUGUUUUGCAAAUGUUGAGAGGGAAAAUACCUCGAAGAUUUGAGUCUGGGAUAUUUGACAUGGUGAACCCUUAAAAGAUAAAGUGCAAUCUUGUGUAGUAUGAAAAGUUCUUGAAAUAAACUAAAUUAAAAAAUAAGAAAAAAUAAUAAAUUUUUAGAUUACUUAAUAAACUAAAGAUUUACAAAUUUAAUUUAAAAAAUUGAGGUUUACAAUGUAAUUCAUCAUUUGAAGAAAAUCAGAAAAGUGUGUAAUUAAGAUUAUUGUAUAGUAAAAGAAUAGUUUUUUUAAAAUGGAAUGAAUCAAAUGACUGACAAGAACAAUAAAAAUAAGUUUUAAUAGGUUGUUUAAUAAAUUAAAUAUAUUUCAGUAAUUUAAAAUGAAAACGGAUAAUUCAUAUCCAAUUUAAAAUAUUAGAUAUUAUUUACAAUUGUGCCCAAUCAAUACGGAAAUUAAAAUUUAUCUAUUAAAAAAAAAGUUAAACUUUCAACAAUAUUUUUUAGUAUAAUUGUUCUCAUAUAUUACUUUCACCAAACAGUUCAUAUUAUAACCAAUCAUUGAAAGGGUGAAAAUUUUAUAUUAUAACCAAUCAUUGAAAGGGUUGAAAAUUUUAAAACUAAAAUAGAAUUAAAAAUGACAGUUUAAUCUAAUAAAUUCUAAAUCUUAAAUCAUAAACUAUUGUAAAAAAUGCUUGGAAAUUUUUAAAAACAAAAUAAAAUUUUAAAAAAAAAACAGAGAAUUGUAUCUUGAACCGUAGCCAAAUCUUCUAUUUUUUAACAUUUCUGUAAAUGAAAAUUUUAGAACUAUUAAUAAAAGUCUAUUUUAAUCAUUUUUGUGUAAUUAAAGAAUUUAGAAAUUAAGAUGAUAAAAUUGUACCUGGUAUACAGAAUUUUAGCACUUCCAGCAGUGGCAGACUAAAUGAGCCUGAAAUGAAGGAAAAUAUGAAGUUUAGAAUAGUGGUGAUCUCUACAGUUUGAUAAAGGUUAUAGCGGUCAAUAAGUUUAACAGUUACUUAUUUUAAAGAAAAUAAAUGUUUAAUUUAAUGCAUAUGUUCUUAUAAAUACACGUAAAAUAUAAAAGAUACAAAAAUUGGUUUAAACUAAUUGUUUACAAGCUUUUCAGUUAAUUUAAAUGUAUAUUUAGAAGAUUUAAACUACAUGAGUAAGGAGCAUAAUAACGUGCUUAUCUAAAAAAAUUGGUUAAUAUAUUUUGGUUUAGGAUCACUCACCUUUGAUGCAUUGAAGCUUGUGGUUAGAAGAGUCGACAUAGCAAUCUCUAUCAUCAUCUGGACAAUGUUUCUGACAGACGAGUUGUAUCCAUGAAAUCUCGAAUCCAUAGGCGAGUGCGGUGUGAAUGGAAGAGUAGGAAUGGUUAUCGAAAGUGGAGAGAGAAGUGGGAGCAACAAGCUUUACCUCACACCCAACUUCUAAGUCCUCUGCUUUUAGGUCUCCACCAAUUGCAUAUGAAUACCCCUUCCCCUCCCACUUCACCCACUCUCCACUCUCCACAUACUUCUCUUUCUCUCUCACCGAAUGGUUACAAUUCACAAACACUAUAUGCGAGAAACUCAGAGAUUCCCAAUUUAUAGAGGCAUCUAGACCGGCUUGGUAUGGAUUCGAGUGGUAAAAGGAAGUGUAAGUGUCAGAGAAAUUGGAGCGAGAGAGGAAACGGAGAGGAAGGGAGGAGAGAUUAUGGUGCUGCAGAGCAGGAUCAACAACUCUCACUGUGUAGUUCUUGUAGUUUAUUGACUUCACAUGAUAUUGUCCAGAGUACAGAUACAACACCGUAAAGUUAUGCUCACAACCAAGUUCAUACCUUUCCUCACCACACUUUUCUGGGUCGCCUUUUAAUCGAAAUGGAUAACUGAUGUUGCUGAUUUUACCACAGGAAGAAGGGGGACAAACGUGUUCUUGGUGGUCCUUGGUAGCAGAAAUAUGGUGGAGUAGAAGUAGCAGUACCACCAACACUGCUCUCUCUCUCCACAUCAUGUCCAGACUGUUUCUCACUGAAUUCAAGUGCAAACAAAUCCAAGUUAGAUAUUUAUAUUUAAACAUCACACACUGAAUUUAUAGCUAUAAAGGACCACAUUUUUCCUUUUACAAAAUUGUUUGAAGACUUAUGAUACUUAAAACGUAGACUUUGACUCAGAAACCGCGUUAUCUUGUUUCCGCAACUCAUUUUAAUCCAUACAAAAUUUUAAAUAUUCGUGAAGUGCAUGAAUUUUGAUUUCGGUAUUUAAUCAUCUAAUUUUGUUGAUGGUGUUCUUUGAGUUUCUGAAACCAUCCUAAAUUGUUUGUUUUAAAAGCUUAUAUUUUGAAAAAUAAUUUUAAUGACCUUAGAAUUUCUGUGAGUCCCAAAAUAAUGUUUGUUUGGUUAAGAAACUUCAACAUGUGAUAGGUACAUAAAUUGUUUUAGUGAAUUUUUCCCCGAAAAUGGCCUCAUAUGUUUCUUUGUGUUAAUUUCUUGAACAUAUUCUUCUUGGACAUGGGAGCAAGAAAGAGUGUGUGGUGGGAGAACGAAGCACUAACAAUUUUCUGUAUGUGUAAAAGGUAAAGGAGAGGGAAAAACAUAUGGAAGCAAUUCCAAACACGUAACCCAAAAUUCCAGCAUACUUUUCAACUUGUGGCCUUGAAAACUCAAUAAUUAAAAGUGCGUUUCGAAGAAUUUGACGUAGAUCUCCAAAAUUAUAAUGUCGCAAAAAUGUAUAUGACCUUGUGGACUUUGACCUUGAUAAAGUUAAUAAAAGUGAACAACUCAGAGAUAAUUCUUGAUAGAAUUAAACACUUGAGUUACAUAGGAUGAGCCGUGAGAUCCUCACUCGGCUAAUUAGUAAUUGAAAGAAUAAAAAAUCAUUAAGCAAUUUUUUUUGGUAGAAAAGCUAGCAGGAAAUUUCUAAACCAUGUUUUCUGCAUGCAGGUAUCAAAACCCUCAAGUGCAUGUAGUUUCAUUUGAUGUGGUUGUCAUUAAUACUUCAUGAUCCUCUUCAUCUUGUUCGUGAUUACUAUCUUCUUGAGCACAAUUGGAAGCAUGAUUAUCACCUUUUGAUCUGCACUUAUUUGCAUAAUGGCCACGUUUAUGGCAAUUAUAACACUNNNNNNNNNNNNNNNNNNNNNNNNNNNNNNNNNNNNNNNNNNNNNNNNNNNNNNNNNNNNNNNNNNNNNNNNNNNNNNNNNNNNNNNNNNNNNNNNNNNNACAUGGUAGCUAUUUCAGCAAAGGUCGUGGUGGCUAAAAUCAUGGAGGCGCUUGACGCGGGGGACGUGGUCGCGGAGGACGAGGAGGCAUUUAUAAUAAAUCAAAUGUUGAGUGUUAUAAUUGCCAUAAACGUGGCCAUUAUGCAAAUAAGUGCAGAUCAAAAGGUGAUAAUCAUGCUUCCAAUUGUGCUCAAGAAGAUAGUAAUCACGAACAAGAUGAAGAGGAUCAUGAAGUAUUAAUGACAACCACAUCAAAUGAAACUCCAAACAAUCAGACUUGGUAUUUGGAUACAGGUUGCACGAAUCAUAUGUGUGGUCAGAAGGAGCUGUUUGCAGAUUUGGAUGACUCAUUUCGAACAAAAGUGAAAUUCGGUGAUGACAGGUUCGUUCCGGUGAUUGGAAAAUGGUGAAUUCUUAUUACAUUAAAGAAUGGUGAUCACAGGUACAUUUAUGAUGUUUUCUAUGUACCUGACAUGAAAAGUAAUCUGUUGAGUGUGGGACAACUGGCUGAAAAGGGUUACGUGAUGCACAUAGUUGAAAAUAAAUUCUCAAUUUUUGAUAGGUAAUUUGAUUCUUAAAACCUUUUUAUCAAAAAACCGCAUGUUUCCAGUAGAUAUUCAUAUGGGUGAUUUAAAGUGCUUGAAUGUAAUAAUGAAUAAUGAAUCGUGGUUAUGACAUUUACGCUUUGGGCACUUAAAUUUUCAGAGUUUGGAAAAUCUUUCCAAAAGAAAUUUAGUGAAUGGUUUACCCCAUAUUUAUCACCCUAAUCAAUUGUGUGAGGCUUGCAUCUUUGGAAAGAAUCACAGGAUACCAUUUGUUAAGGAGUCUUGGCGUGCAAAAUUUCCUUUGGAGCUUGUUCAUACAGAUGUUUGUGGCCCGAUGAACAUAUCAUCAGUUGGAGGUAAUAAGUAUUUUUUAACCUUUAUUGAUGAUUUUUCAAGGAAAACCUGGAUUUAUGUAUUGAAAAGCAAGGAUGAGGUAUUCCACUGCUUUAAAAUAUUUAAAGCAUUUGUUGAAAGAGAGAGUGNNNNNNNNNNNNNNNNNNNNNNNNNNNNNNNNNNNNNNNNNNNNNNNNNNNNNNNNNNNNNNNNNNNNNNNNNNNNNNNNNNNNNNNNNNNNNNNNNNNNUGAUGGAGCGACCAAGAAGGCAACAACGACAACCUGUACACCUUCAAGAUUGUGAAGUAAAUCUUGAUGGUGAAGUUGAUGACAAUGGAGAUUUAGUUCACUUUGCUUUUCUUGCAGAAUCAGAACCUGUGAGACUUGCCGAUGCCAUUCAACACCCGAAAUGGCAAAAGGCUAUGAAUGAAGAAUUGAUGGCGAUUGAGAAAAACAAUGUCAUGACUCAAAUUGGGAAGGUUGUUCCAAAUCAGAAUUAAGGGAGGAUGUUGGUUAUUAAUUCAUAUUUUAUUAUUAUUAAUUCAGAUUUUAUUACCCUUAAACUAUUUUACCGUUAUAUUGCAUUAAUGGUCAAUUUACAGGCCUGUUAGUAUUCCUAUUUUAUAGCUUCCAGUAAUUGUGAUUUUAUUAUAUAUAUGAUUGAGUAAAUCAAAAUGAAUAACUUUAGUUUUGUAAUUUUUUGCAAUUACGUUCAAUCGGUUGCUAUAACCUUUUGCCUUCUCUUAUUUCCUUCAAUUAGUUCCUACACACUCACCAUUUAACGUUUUGUAUAAAGUGACGUUUUAUGUGUAUAAUUAAAAUUGUCGUAAUUUAUUUGAUCGGAAAACGAUUUCAGUGAAAAAACAACACAUAAACAUCACUAUAUACUAUACAAUAUGAUGUUUUUAACUAUCAUUAUUUUAAGAAAAAUUUGAAAAACAAUACUUAAGUUUCAAUAUACGUAAAUUGAAUACUAAAUAAAUAGAAUUCAGUCACCAAUUUAUAAUCUCAUUAUUUAAUAAAUUUGUUUUCAUAAUUAAACAACUAAACAAAUUUAUAAUACCAUUUAAUUAAAUCUAUUUUCACAAUAAAAAAAUUAAAUACUACUCAUAGUUAUAAUAAACAUUCAUUUAUUGCAUUGAAAACUGAACACAAAAUUAAUAGUUGUUCAAAAGUACACCAAGAUAAAUACACAAAAUAUUUUUAAAUAUGAUAACAUCUUAUUAGACUAUUACAAUCAUCUUCCUUAAUAUUUACUUCCACCACUUGAUUCUAUUAUUUUGUUGGGUGAUAAAGCACAAUUUCCAACCUAAGGUGCCUACAUCUAAUGCUUAAAAUAGAUAAAAAAUAAUUUCAGAUUAUUCAUUUUCAAUUUUUAUAAUUAUAAAAUAAAAGAAGACAUUAAUAAUAAAUAUUUAAGUAUAUUAAGUUAUACCUCAUUCCAAUUGACAUAAUUUUAGGUUAUUUGAAAAACCUUUCUUUAACAUCAUUAAAAGUUCUAGAUGUAUUAUAAACUAGAGAGUUAUAAAAAUAAAGAAAUGUAUUUUUCUAUUCAAGAAUAACAAUUAAAUAUACAAUCAUUGUAAUUUUGAAUUUCUUUACAGUUUUUAUUAAAAAAAAUUACAAUUGCAAUUACAACUACAACUAAUUUAUUUUAUUGUUAUCCUUAAUGGGAUGUUUUUUCUUACUCUUGAAAGAAAUAAAAUAAUGUAUAUAUUUGUAGUAGGCAAAGCUGUAGUAGGCAAAUAUAGGUUUCAAUAUUUUUCCAUCUUCUAGCCUGAAACAAUCUCAAAUUAUAGAAAAGCUUAGCAUUUAGUUUGCUAAAUGUAGACAACACUAAUAAUUAGCAAGAUAUUGAUUCUAAUUAUCUAGUGGUCUGUUGGAGAGAGUUCAUAAAAUUUAGUUAAAGCGAGAUUGUAGAUAAUCUGCUGAAAAGAGUUAUUUAUGUAUUUUUCAUUAAUUUCUCAUAGAAAUUAAUAGUAAACGCUCUCUCAACCAUUUAAACAAAUGUCAUUUUAAUGUACAAUCAACAAACCAAUGUCAAUGAAGUCUAUGUUUCGUUAAAGCCACGUAAGAUUUUACUUGAGUGAAUGAAUAUUAUGGUAAAGAAUACUUUGUUUUAGAUGAUUAAGGCAAGUAAAAUAAGAAUAUGGAAUGUGUGUACGGUAAGUUCGUUAAUUUAAGAUUUAUUCAUAAAGAAUCAUUUCAUUGAUAUAAUAGGUUUCUAUUUGUUCUUAGAUUUUUUUAUGAAUAAAUAUAGUCUACUCAUAUAUUGUUUUUGUUAACACAUGAAUUUUAAUAUAGUUUUUUAUUUUUAUUUUUUAUUUUUUUUAAUAAUAUAUUUUUUCAUGUGAUGACACUCACAUAUUAUUGCUAUUACUUGAGGUGUCAACCUAACUGAAAUUUCAAGUUAUAUAAUGAUGCUUGACAUGAAAGUUUUUUAUAAAAAAAAAAUAAAAAAAUUAUAUUUGGUUCAUACAUAUACAUUAUAUACAUUUGAUCCAUUUAGAUAGUAACGUUCUAAUGAAAAAGUAAAUUUAAUAUACUUAAACAAAUAUCAAUAUAUUUGGUUGUUGGAGUUGCUAAAUAUAAUGUGUUUCUUUUUCCUAUGCCACAAGAAAAUUUUGUCUUUAACAUUGGUAUACAUAUCUUAGACCAAAUUGACAAAUGGUUACCGAAAUUGAAAAAUAUUUUUUUAGUAAAAUAUGUUUUUCGUCAUUCUAAAUUUUUUUAAACAGUUUUUCUUUCAAUUAUUUUGACUUAUUUUCAUACAUCUGUUUGGAAUUUGAGUUUUGGUUCUGGAGGUAACAUUUAAUAGCGUUUAUUAAGCACUAUUCAAACUACUCUAAAUAUAAAAGUGGUAUAUUUUAAAAAUAAUGGAAAAAAUAUUUAGAGUGAUAAAAAUAUAAUUUUGAGAAAUAUAAAUAAAUAAUAUUUUUUUUCUGCGUUUGUUUAUUGCAACGUAGGGAUCAGAAUAAACAAAUUAAGCCAAUUUUAUGUAUGUCCACUUCUUUUACUGCAAACUAUAGCAUAUAAAAAUUCUUGUCCAGAUGAUAUUAAAAUUAAAAAAAACUGUAAAUUAAGUUGUUGUAAAGUGUGUGAACUUUAUAUAUAUCUCUUAUAAUUAAAGCAUAGGUAAAUUAAGGUGAUAAAAAUUGUAAAUAUAAUUUUAAGGAAUUAGUUUGAGAACCCAAUUAAAGAAGUAUUUCAUGACUUACUUAAAUAAAGACGAGACAUAAAUAUAUUAUAGUAAAUAAUGGAAAAAUGAUCGAAAUAAAUUUUUAUAUCCUGAUUGAGAAACAAUAUUAAUAAUGCAUUUGAUUUUUUUUGUACUUUAAAUAUUUCCAAAUUAUUCUAGGACUAAAAGUUCCACCACAUGUAGAACUGUGGCGGAAAUAUCUUUCCAUUAAUAUCGUGUGUCUUAUAUAAACACUUGAUAUGCACGUAUAUAAUUGACGCAGUCAAAUGACAAUAUACUUUGAAAUUAAUAAUUAUUGAUUUAUUUUUAUCAGUUGAACGUAGGUAUACACUAACAUUUAAUUUAAUGUGUUAAAAUUUUCACAUCCAUUAAAAAUUAGAAUAUUAAAUGAAUACAAAAUAUAAUCCAAACUCUCUAUCGAAGUUAAAUGAAUUUGAACAAAUCAUAUAACUAAUUCGACAUCAGAAUUCAUAUGUUCUUUUCAUCAGACAACAACAACCCAAGUUGUGUGGCUUCUUCCUCAUCAUCAACUUAUAAUUUCUAACCUCUCUGGUACGCUUGUUAUUACAAGGCUAUUUUUUUUUUUUCAAAUUCCAUAUAUUAUGUAUUGUAAAACACAUAAAUUCUUUUAGGUGAAACUUAUGUGUCAACUUUCAAUCAAUAUUCACUGUCGGUCAUUAAUUCAAAUUUUAUUUACUAAAUUAGAGUUUGAAUUAGUCUUGAAUUGUUGUCCUAGUUUACAGUCAGUAUUACGUUAGUGGUUUUGAAAGUGUACAAGGCUAUUAGUAUUGUGUUAGUGUUUAGUUAUUACUUAUAUUUUAUAGUUUUUGGUAGUUGUAAUUUUAUUUUUAUAUAUUGUCGAAGUAAAUCAACAAAAUGCAUGCAGUAUAUUGUCUUCUAUUAUUUCUUUCAAACAGUUUCUACAAUUGUUAUCAAAUCCAGAUUGUCUGUUAUCAUGAAAUCUACCUAAUUAUUGGUCCCUAUCUUUGAUUGAAAAAAAUUACAAUCGAUGAUGCGUGCAGAUGAGAGUUUUGUUCGAUUAUCAUGAGUUAUGGGAUGUCAUUGAGAAUGGAGUGUCUGCAUUAGCUGCUAAUGCAACUGAGACGCAAUGAGUAGCGCAUCGUGACCAGAAGAAGAAGGACAAUAAGACUUUGUGUCUCAUCUAUCAAGGGAUGAAUGACGAAACCUUUGAGCAGAUAAAAGGAGCAACAACUGCAAGUGAAGCUUAGACCAUUUUGUUAACCAAUUAUAAAGGCGAUGACAAGAUCAAGAGGGUGUGCCUUCAAACUUUAAGACGCCAAUAUGAACUGCGGUAGAUGGAAACCACAAAGACUGUUGAUGUUUAUAUCAAUAGAGUUCUUGCCUUAACGAAUGAGAUGAAGACCAAUAGUGAAACACAUUCGGAGCAGGCAAAGGUGGAGAAGAUUUUGAGGUCUUUAACUCCCAUAUUUGAACAUGUUGCCGCAAUUGAAAAGGCCAAUGCCCUUUUAACAAUGACAGUAAGGUUAUUGUCCGGUUCCCUACGAACGUAUGAGUAGUGGAUGAAUGACAAUAAGAUUGAAAAACCAAUUGAACAGGCUUUACAAGCACAAUCCUCAAUUCCAAGCCUCAAUUGGUAACUCCUAUCAUAAGCACGGUAGUUCACAAGGUAGAGGACGUGGACGUGGUGGUAGCUAUUCCAAUAAAGGUUGUGGUGGCCAGAACCAUGGAGGUGCUGAGCAAAACAACACUGGUUCCAAUCACAAUCUGAGUUCAAAUAACUCUUGGCGCGAAGGACGUGGUCGCGGAGGACGUAGGGACAUGUAUAAUAAAUCAAAUGUGUAAUGUUAUAACUACCAUAAGCGCGACCAUUAUGCAAAUGAAUGUAGAUCAAAAGGUGAUAAUCAUGCUGUCAAUUGUGCUAAAGAAGACUAUAAUCACGAACAAGAUCAAGAGGAUCAUGCAUUACUAAUGGUAGCCAUAUCAAAUGAAACUCCAAACAAUCAGACGUGGUAUUUAGAUACAGGUUGCAAGAAUCAUAUGUGUGGUCAGAAGGAGCUGUUUGCAUAUUUGGAUGACUCAUUUCGCACAAAAGUGAAAUUCGGUGAUGGCAGAUUCGUUUCGGUGACUGGAAAAGGGCAGAUUCUUAUCACAUUGAAGAAUAGUGAUCACAGGUAUAUCUAUGAUGUUUUCUAUACCUGAUAUGAGAAGUAAUCUAUUGAGUAUGAGACAGUUUGCCGAAAAGGGUUACGUGAUGCACAUAGUUGAAAAUCAAUUCUCAAUUUUUUAUAAAGAAGGUAGCUUGAUUCUUAAAUUUUUUUUAUAAAAAAAUCGCAUGUUUCUAGUAUAUUUUAAUAUGGGUGAUUUCAAGUGCUUGAAUGCAAUAAUGAAUAAUGAAUCGUGGUUAUGACAUUUACGUUUUGGCCACUUAAAUUUUCAGAGUUUGGAAAAAUCUCUCCAAAUUGGUUUACCCCAUAUUCAUUACUCUGAUCAAUUGUGUGAGGCUUGCAUUUUUGGAAAGAAUCACAGGAUACCAUUUGUUAAAGAGUCUUGGCGUGCGAAAUUUCCUUUGCGCUUGAUCAUACAGAUGUUUGUGGUUUGAUGAACAUAUCAUCAAUUGAAGGUAAUUCGUAUUUUCUAACCUUUAUUGAUGAUUUUUCAAGGAAAACCUUUGAAAAACAAUGAUGAGGUAUUCCACUACUUUAAAAUAUUUAAAGCAUUUGUUGAAAGACAUAGUGGCAGACUAAUUAAGAUGGUGCGUAGUGAUGGAGGGGUGAGUACAAGUCUAAUGAGUUCAAAAGACAUUGUGAAGAACUUGGGUUGCAGCAUAACAUAACAUGUCCCAACACUCCUCAACACAACGGAGUAGCCGAGAGAAAGAAUAGAACAAUCAUGGAUAUGGCGAGGAGCAUGCUUAAAGCGAAAGGUAUGCCAAAUUAUUUUUGGGCUGAAGCUAUAACAUGUGAGGUAUAUUUGAUAAACAUAUCACCCAUUUGGAGUGUUCCUAACACAACUCCGAUUGAGGCAUGGAGCGGAUUCAAACCCAAUGUGCAACACUUGAAGGUAUUUGGGUCAAUUACUUAUGCUCAUGUCCCCAAGGCAACAAGAUCGAAGUUGGAUGAUAAGGCAAUGUAGAUCACUUUCAUUGGAUAUAAGCAUGGGGGAUACAAACUGUACAAUCCAAUGACAAAGAAUGUGAUUGUUAGCCGUGAUAUUACAUUUGCCGAAGAUGAGGAAUGGCAAUGGAAUGCAGCAGUUGAAAUGGAUUCGAAAAAACGAUAUAUUUACAUUUUGAACGAUGAUGUGAAAGAUGGAGUAACUCUUGAAGCACCUGUCGUUCAACCUGAAGUUGUAAUUCAACUUGAAGUUGCAGCUCCAAUUGCAACUACGAUGGAGCGACGAAGAAGGCAACAACGACAACCUGUACUCCUUCAAGAUUACGAAGUAAAUCUUGAUGAUGAAGUUGAUGACAAUGGAGAAUUGAUUCACUUUGCUUUACUUGCAGAUUUAGAACCCGUGAGACUCGCAAAUGCCAUUCAAUACCCCAAAUGGCAAGAGGCUAUGAAUGAAAAAUUGAUGGCGAUUGAGAAAACAAUACAUGACAACUCACUGAUCUUCCGAAAGGACACAAAGCAAUUGAUGUGAAGUGGGUGUACAAGAUUAAAGUGAAAGCAAAUGGUGAGAUUGACAGAUACAAGGCAAGGUUGGUAGCAAAAGGAUUUGAGCAAAGAGAAGGCUAUGAUUACGAAGAAAUAUCUUCUCCUAUAGCUCGAAUGGAAAUAGUGAGAUUAAUCAUUGCUUUGGUUGCACAAAGGCAAUGGAAAAUUCACCAAAUGGAUGUCAAGUAUGCGUUUCUAAACGACCUACUUGAUGAAGAGGUUUAUGUAAAGCAGUCGUCGGGUUUCAUACAAUCCGGCAAAGAGGAGAAGUUGUACAGACUAACUAAGGCUUUAUAUGGUCUUAAACAGACACCAAGAGCUUAGAACAAAAGGAUUGAUUCAUUUUUCUUCAUGCCACUGGAUUAAAAAAAUGUGCAUCAGAUCAUGGUCUUUAUGUAAAGACUAAUGAUUAUGGAGAUUUGCUAAUUUUAUAUCUCUAUAUUGAUGAUGUGAUUUUUACAGUAAGUAAUCUCAAAAUGAUUGGUGACUUCAAGCAUAUCAUGAUGAAGGAAUUUGAGAUGUCUGAUCUCGGUCUUAUGUCCUACUUUUUGGACAUUGAAGUCAUCCAAGGAGACGAUAAAAUCUUUAUUCAUCAGAGAAAAUUUGCUGCUGAGUUUUUAAAGAAGUUUAAGAUGGAGGAUUCAAACUCAGUUAAGACUCCAAUUGAAACUGGAAUUCAGCUUACGAAGGAAGGUGACUCACUUGUACUAGACUCGACUUAUGUUAUGCUGUGGGAUUGGUUCGUCGGUACAUGGAGUCACCUCGACGGGUUCAUUUACAAGUUGUAAAUAGAAUUAUGCGCUACAUCAAAGGUACUACAACUCUUGGUCUAUUUUACUUUUCAUCUAAGAAGAUUGAGAUUGUCGAAUACUCAGAAAAUGAUUGGGGUAGAGAUUGAGACGAGAGGAAGAGCACGAGUGGUCAUUGUUUUAUGCUCGGAAAAACUGUUUGUUUGUGGUCAUCAAAAAAACAGUCAAUUAUUGCAUUAUCCACUUGUGAAGCUGAGCAUGUAACAGCAGCAACAAGUGCUUGUAAAUCAAUUUGGCUCAACAAUAUUAUGACUCAAAUUGGUAUUAAUCUCGAUGUUCCAAUCAAUAUUUAUUUUAACAAUGUCUCUGCAAUUAAUCUAGCAAAAAAUCCGGUUUUUCAUCAAAGAAGUAAACACAUUGAUUUUCGAUAUCACUUCCUGCGAGACCAAGUUAGGAAGAACAAAUUAGAAUACUGCAGAUCAGAAGAUCAGAUAAUAGAUAUUCUAACUAUGCCAUUGAAGAUCGAUGCUUUCAUCAAGUCAAGAGAUCUGUUGGGCAUGAAGGUUGUUGGUCAUUAAUUCAAAUUUUAUUUUUACUAAAUUAGAGUUUAAAUUAGUCUUGAAUUGUUGUCCUAGUUUACCGUUAGUAUUGCGUUAGUGAUCUAGUGGUUUUGAAAGUGUAGUCCUAGUUUAUAAGGUUGUUAGUAUUGUGUUAGUGUUUAAUUAUUGCUCCUAUUUUGUAGCUUCUGAUAGUUGUAAAUUUUUUUUUUAUAUAUUGUAAAAGUAAAUCAACAAAAUGUAUGAGUUCAGUACUAUAUUGCCUUCUAUUAUUUCUUUCCAAUAGUUUCUAUACUUUCUACCAAAUAAUCUGUGAUAAAUUCCCUUUUGUACAAAAAGGAAAACAAUUUGAUGUAAAUAGUCGAAAAUUGAUCAAAGAUGGUUCUAUUCUUGAAAACCUAAAUUUAUAAGAAAAUUGACAUAUUAAAAAGAAAAUUCAGUGUAGAUUAGAAUUUAUGUUAUUAUUUUAAAGUGUCAAUAAAAAUAUUGUUGUAUCGAUGAGCCUAUCAUCUGCUUAAGACUAAGGUUGUGUACUCAUAGGUCAAGGUUCAACCCUUGCCAUCAGAAAUAUUAUCUAAACUGAAAGAGUUAUUAGGGUUAUUUGGUUUCAACGAGUGAUUUACGAGAAGAAAGAAACUUUCACAAAUCAAAUAAUAAAAAAUUAAUAAAUUUUUUAGAAAAAAGAUUAAACCUUAUUUUUUCACAAAUAUGCAAAAUUUUGUGGAAAAUCAUGGUUAAAAUAUAUAUUAUAUUAAAUAUAUAUUUUAUAAUUAUUAUAUUAAAUAUACAUUAUUAUUUCCUUUAUAUUCAUAUUCAUAUUUAUAUUUAUAUUAUAAUAAAAUAAGUAUAAUUAACUAUGUAAUAUAAUAUAAAUAAUAAUAAUUAUUAAAAUAUUAAUAAAUAUAUAUAAAAUGAUAAUUAAAAUAAAAUACUAAUAAUAAAUUUAUGAAAUAACAACUAUAAUAAAAUAAUUAAAAAAGUUAUAAAUAAUAAAUAAUAAUUAUAAAAAUAAAUAAUAGUAAUAAUAGUAAAAUUAAAAUUAUUAAUUAAUUAUAAAAUUAUUAUCUUUUAUUUAGUUAAAAUUAAUUUAUAUUAAUAUAAUUAAAUUCAUUAUUAUCUAUAAAUCUAUAAAUAUAUAUAUAUAUAUAUAUUAUUUUAUAACUUUUAAAAAUUUAUUAUAUCUAUGAAAUCACUCACAAAAUUUUAUAAAUUUUUUCUUAACUUUUCACUUUUAUUUUACUUAAUCCAAACAAUCUGACUUUAUCUUUAAAUUCACUUUUUCAAAUCUACAGGGGAGUUCUCUGAAGAAGAAAUUAGGACUGCGGUUUGGAAUUGUGAAAGUUCUAAGAGCCAUGACCCUGAUGGAUUUAAUUUUGGUUUCAUAAAGUUUUGUUGGGAAAUUUUAAGGAUGGAUGUGAUGUCAGCGGUGAAGGAUUUUGCGACAAAGAGCCAUUGGCCUAGAGGUUCAAAUGCUUCCUUCCUUUGUCUUGUUCCAAAAGUUGAAAAUCCUUUGCAGCUUGGUGAGUUUAGGCAUAUUUCUUUGAUAGGAUGUUUGUAUAAAAUUAUCUCAAAAGCGUUGUCUCUACGUUUGAAAAAGGUGAUUAGCAAAGUGAUUGAUGUUAGACAGUCUGCUUUUCUUGAAGGUAGGGGUUUGUUGGACAGUGUGCUGGUAGCGAAUGAGGUGCUGGAAGAAUAUAAAAGGAAAAAGAAGAGUUGUGUGUUCUUCAAAGUUGACUAUGAAAAAGCAUAUGACUCGGUUAGCUGGGAGUUCCUAUAUUAUAUGUUGGAAAGAUUGGGUUUUUGUGCUCAAUGGAUUCGAUGGAUAAAGUGUUGUUUAGAAUCUGCUUCAGUCUCUGUAUUAGUGAAUGGCAGUCCAACUGGGGAAUUUACUCCUCGGAGGGGACUUCGUCAAGGUGACCCGCUUGCUCCGUUCCUCUUCCUUAUAGUUGCAGAAGGGUUGGCUGGGGUGUCUAGGAUGGCUGAAGAGAAGAAUUUGAUUGAUAGUCUGGAGGUUGGAAGAGAUAAGGUGAAGGUUAGUAUGUUACAAUAUGCUGACGAUACAUUAUUCUUUUGCGAAGCGAAUACCAAAAGUGUUUUUAAUAUUAAGGCUAUCUUGCUUUGCUUUGAGCUCGCUUCUGGGCUUAAGGUGAAUUUUUUAAAAAGCAGUAUUGGCGGGAUGGGGUUGGAUCAAUGUUCGCUUCAGCGUUUUGCAGCUACUCUUAACUGUAAGGUGAUGGUAACUCCUUUUGUCUAUUUAGGGUUACCGGUAGGAGGUUGCCAUAAGCGCAGUGUUUUUUGGAACGGGGUGUUAGAGAGAGUUCAGGGCAAGCUGUCGAGGUGGAAAGGCAGGUGUUUGUCGAUGGCUGGGAGGAUCUGUUUGAUUAAUUCAGUCCUCUCCUCAGUUCUGUUAUUCUUUAUGUCCCUAUUCAAACUGCCAUCUGGGGUGGCUGACAAGUUAGUUCGGAUCCAAAGAAAUUUCCUUUGGGGGUGGGGUUCUGACAGAAGGAAGAUUGCUUGGGCCUCUUGGAAUAAGGUUUGUGAGCCUCGGGACUACGGGGGUCUUGGAAUCAUUGACUUAAAGACUUUUAACCUGGCCCUGCUAGGCAAGUGGAUUUGGAGGUGGGGGUCGGCCAAGGGAGGUUUGUGGAAAGAGAUUCUUGACUCUAAAUAUGGUGGAUGGAGGAAUUUGAGAGCGGAAGGUAAACCCUGCAGGGGUUCUCUUUNNNNNNNNNNNNNNNNNNNNNNNNNNNNNNNNNNNNNNNNNNNNNNNNNNNNNNNNNNNNNNNNNNNNNNNNNNNNNNNNNNNNNNNNNNNNNNNNNNNNNNNNNNNNNNNNNNNNNNNNNNNNNNNNNNNNNNNNNNNNNNNNNNNNNNNNNNNNNNNNNNNNNNNNNNNNNNNNNNNNNNNNNNNNNNNNNNNNNNNNNACUGGUUUAAUGGUGUUUGGAUUUGGCAUUUGUGCUGGCGUAGAUCCCUCUUUGACUGGGAGAAGUUGUUGGAGGAGCAGUUGAGUCAGUUGCAGCAAGGGGUGAAGAUGGAUGUGGGAGGGGUGGAUAGCUGGGUCUGGAAGGCUGAGGGGUCUCAAAGUUUUAAUGUUAACUCAGCUUAUAGCAAGGUAAGGAGGGUUAGUGAUGGGGAGUCCUCUCCGACCUACUGUAGGUUGUGGAGGUGUAAAGCCUUGCCUUCUGCUGUAUUCUUGGCCUGGAGAGUUUUGGAAAAUAGGAUUGCAACUAGGGUUAAUUUGGUAAGGCGCGGGAUGGUGGUUGAAAAUCCUGUAUGUUGCUUGUGUGGGAAGGUCGAUGAGUCGUCGAGUCACUUGUUCGCCGUUUGUGACUUUGCUUGGAGGGUCUGGUGCCUUUACUUUGAGUGGCUUGGAGUGUCGUUCGUAAUCCAUUCGGAUCCAAUGCAAAAUUUUAUUCAAUUCAGGUUGAGUCAGGCAUCUGUUUCGGUUAAUGAUGUUUGGGGGGCAAUUUGGGUUGGAAUUGUGAGUGAAAUCUGGAAGCAUAGGAACUCGGUCGUCUUUAAUGGAGGAGUGGCAGAUGCGUUAGAAGUUUUUCCCUCAACACAAGUAAAGGUGUGGUCUUGGAUUGCUGCAAAGUCCUGCGAAGUUUAUUUUUCCUAUCCCUGUUGGGUUCUGGAUCCUUUGGCCUGUAUACGGCUGAUUCGGUAAAGCUAGUUAGCGCUUGGUUUGGUUGGUCUUUUGACCGACGGUUUUGGGUGUCGAGUUAGGAGUUAAAUUGUAUGUGUGUUUGUAAAAGGGUUGAACCACCCCUGAAGUGGUUCUCAUUUAUUGAUUUUUUAUUGCUGAUAAAAAAAAAAAAAAACUAAUCCAAACAAAGGAUUAUAGUUGAAUCGAUCUUGAAAAACAAACUUAGAAAUUAAAGGUAUUCGAAAAAGUUAGAUUUUUGUUAUGACCAAUAAGAAAAUAAAAGAUCUCAUUGACCAAAUCAAACCAAUAAAGGAAGCAUUUUCAAAACUUUUCUUACUUACAAAAAAGCUUUUAAAAAUUAUUUUAUUUUAUAUUUUUUUUCUUCUUUUCCAUUCAUUUUUGACAAAACCAAAAAAAAAUUUCCAGAACACCAUCCCAUAAUUUGAUCACCAUAUAAUUUAUUUUGGAUGAGCAUUCGCUAAAUUCAAAAAUUGAAAGUCGAAAUUAUAUUUUUGAGAAACCAAAUUUUGAUGACAUAUGGAAUGACCUUCUUCCACCCUUGGUCAUUAUCGAAAAAAAUAUCUCCAAAAUUCGGAGAAAUUUUCUUUUGAAAAUAAACCAAAAUCUCACCAUGAUCAUAAAUCAGUGCGCUACUUGGAGAAAAAAAGUCCGGUUGAGUCACUGCACACCAAUUCCCACGCUCAAGCUUUUCCACUAAAAUUGUUUGAGAAAUUGAACCACUAAAUCAAAUAGCCAAAUCACGUAAUCACCAAAUUUUCUACUAAUUCACUAAAUUGGUUAAUAACACAAGCAAAUACUGUAUUGGUUUUCAACCAAUUUGAACAAUCAACACACCAUAUUUUUUCACCAAACCUGUACAGUAAAACAACAACACAAACAUAUUUUGUUUCCUGCUCCAAAAUUUGAAUCAUAAAAUGCAGUGAAUCAUCACACAAAAUAAUUUUUUACAAAAACAUUAUCUGCAGCUUAAACCAAUACACAAAUUGCUUCAAAAACUCCACCACAAAAUCAACGCGACUUUUUACAAAUCACUAAUUCAGGAACAUAAUAACUAAACUUCUCUAUUUUUCGAAAAUUUCACAGGAUUGAACAAUUCCUAUUGGAAUUCGCACUCAAAUGGAACUCUAGUGUAGAAUUAACGCACCUCUUACUCAGCUGUCAACGUCACUGGAAUUUCACCGUUUCCAACUUCAAUUUGCUUGAGUAAUUUUUCGUUCGCACAAUACAAAUUGCUUCAAAUUCAGUUUACAAGAUUGGAUCAGAACCACCGAAAGUAAAUCACCAUUCCAAUAAUAUUCUCCGUUCACUGAUUUUAGGUCACCUUAAACUGCUAUUUCCGUUCACCGAUUCCGUUUGUCGGAAUCCGCAAGAGUUCUAUUCACAAAUCGCAAAUAAAGAAUUGCACCGAUGCGCGCCAAUGAAUUCAUUUUUGUUUCUGCCUUUUCAAUAUCGUGCCAAGAACUCCAGCAAAAUUGAUGAACACAAUGGGAAAACGUAAACCGAAAAGUAAUCAACACCAUUGUAGGGCAGUGGUCUCGAACUUGAGAAGAAGAAUGUCACCCAUAAAUUUAUAUGAUGUCAACUUCAAAGCAAUUGACCCAAUGUAGGAUGAUCUUAUGAUUAUCACGUUAGAAGUAGAGAACUUUACACUCAUGAAAAUCCUGGUGUAUCAGGGAAGCUCACUACACAUUUUCUACUGGAAAACCUUUAAAAAGUUGCAAAUCCCAGAUGUUGACAUCCAAAGCUUAUGGUGAUGAGAUAGUGUGAUUAUUGGGAGCGAGUAUAAAUAUGAAAGGUUACAUUGACUUGUUUUCUAAUUUGGGAGAAAGAAGUUUGAAAAGUCAGACUAUCAAGAUCUAAUACUUGAUAAUCGAUACAAAUACCUCAUACAACAUUCUCCUGAGAAGAUUAUCCUUAAAUAACCUAGAAGCUAUAGUGUCAACAUCAAACUUGACAAUGAGGUUCCGUUAUGCAUCCAGAGACAUCAUCACGAUCCAUGUCAACUAAAAAACCGCGAGAGAAUGCUAUGUUAUCAUCUUGAGGAUCACACCCUUAUAUCCUAGUUGAGAUUGCCAAACGACAAAUGAUUGACCUCAAUCCAUAAUAAAUGAUGAUGUAAAGGUCAAGCUUGACAAAGACACAAUCACCAUCUGAUUAAGGCACAAAGGGCAAGAAACAAGGAUAAAGACCAACCUCGUAGAAUCUGAGGCCAAGAUGAUAUAUUGGGUCCCCUUUCAAAAUGUUAACCUAUUCACAUGGACAGUCGAAAACAUGUCAGGGGUAGACCCUAAGGUGAUCUUGCACAAGUUAUUCGUGUAUAAGGAAGCUCACACAAGGUUGCAAAAGAAGACAAAAUUAGGGGAUUAGAAGCGGAAAGUUGCCAAAGAGGAGAUUGAUAAGCUUAUCAAUGUUAGAUUUAUCUAGGAAGCACGAUACACAACAUGGUUAGAAAACAUAAUUAUGGUAAAAAAAGUUAGUGAAAAAUUAAGAAUUUAUACAUACUAUAUGGACAUCAAUAAGACAUAUCCUAAAGAUGUUUGUCCCUUACAAAGUAUGAACUGCAAGAUAAAAGGUCCUCAAUUUUCUAAAUGCCUACUCACAAUAUAACCAAAUAUGAAUACACUCAAAAGAUGGGAAGAAGACGAUUUCUAUGACCAACAACACUAACUGUUUUUCUACAAGUUUGAUUCAACUUUCUAUGAACAAACGACAACAAUUUCUCAAAAAAAACUUAUGCACCCGAAAUGGAUGUUCUUGCAACUCUAACAUCUAAUGCAAAACUAAUAGUAAUGUUGUAACACACAACUAUUGAAACAAAGACUUAUUCCUAAACAUGUUUAUGAUAUUAGUCGCAAAGAUAUCUACAACACUACACUAGUUAAUAAAAAAAAUAAAAUAAAAUAUAUAUAUAUAUAUAUAUUUAUUUAUCUACGAAAGAAAAACUCAAUUUAUCUACGGAAGAAAUCUGUAAGUAACAGUCAAAAUUCGUAGGUAAAUAAGCAUUACCUACGGAAAAAAAAUCUGUAUGUAAUGUGGGCGUAGAUAAUUCAACAUCUUUUAUUAUUAAAAUUUCAAUUAUUAUUUGAUUUUUUAAUUUUUUUUUAAUUAUUAUUUACAUAUAUUAUUUAAUGCCUAUUUUUAUGAUUAUUAUUAACAAUUAUUAUAUAUGUUUUGACAAUUAUUAUUAAAAGUUAUAAGUAAACUAUAACAGGUGAGACUCGAAACCAAGUCCCUUGAAAAAUAACGAAAAAAACUUUAAUUAUUACACCAAACAAGUUUUGUUGUCAUGUUAUCAUUAUUAUUAAUAUUAUAAUAUUAAUAAUAUAUAUACUUAUUAGUUAUGAUUAUUAUUAUUUAUGAAUAUUAGUUAUGAUUUUAUAAUUAUGCAUAUGAUAAUAAUAUUUUUAAUAUUAUAUAUAUAAUUAUUAUGAUAAUAGUUGGUAGGUAAUAGAGAUCCGUGAGUAAUAGUUGGUAGGUAAUAAAUAUUCGUGGGUAAAGUUCGUAGGUAAUAAGAUCUGUGGGUAAUAAUAGUUGGUAGGUAAUGCUAAAUUUACUUACGGAUUCAGAUUUGUAGAUAAUGUUGAAUUUACAUACGAAUUAAAAUCUGUAGAUAAUAUGAUUUUUUUUGUAAUGACACCAAUUGUUAUUUAUUCAAGCUUUAUUAGUGUAGGUUUAAAGAGUUAUUUACAACCGGAUGAAAAGACUUAUUUUGAAUGUGGCGAGGAAUUGGAUUCAAGGAGGGAUCAUAACAAGACAAUCAACAUGUUGGGAGAAAGUUUCAAUUAAAAUGCAAGAAGAAUUACCAAUUUGUCAUGGAUGUAGCCUCGGACAAACAAUAUUUAAUGGUACGGUAUUUUAUAAAUGAAUAAUAUUUAAUGUUCUAUUAAUUUAUUAAUUUAUGUUGAUAAAGUCAAUAAUAUACAUUACCAUAUACUUGAAUAUUUUAAUUAUAUUCAAGUGUUAUUAAUAAACAUAUUAUGAAUUGAAUAGGAAAAAUAUUUCAAUUCAGUAACCAAUUGGAGUGCAUUUAUGCAUACUUUUCGAUUCAUGUUUAGCCUAUAGUGAAUAUGUGAAUUUGAGAGGCUAGUUCAUAGAUUCAACUUUUGUAGAUGUAUGACUAAUUUCUUAACCUAAAAGUUGUUAAUUAUCUAAAUCUUAUUCCACUUUAUGUAUACUUGUAACUAACAAUUUUAUGAGAUUUUUUAUUAACAAUAAAAAAUAUUUAAAUUAAAUAAAUUAUUUAGUGAUGCAAUCCAUAUACAAAACUUCACUUAUAAAAUUGUCUUUGUAAAAUACCUAUUCAAACAAAAUGCAUAUGGCUCUCACAUAAGAACCCAAAAUAAAACUUAGGACAACCCACAACCAUUAUUGGAGCCUUGCCUAUAUGCUACAUAUUCAACAUACCACAGUGGUAAGCAACAGUAGAAAAAAUAAGACUAUAAGGUCUUAGUCCUAAGCAUAAAUGUGGCUCUGUAUAUAGAUUUUACAUAAGAUUUCAAAUAGAUUUACAAGUUUUAAUUUAUUAAAAUAUAUAAAUCAUUUGAAUCAAAUUAAAGUUGACUAAAUCUAUAAUAAUAAUUUACGUCGAUCUAAAUUUUGAAAACUAAAUUCAUGUUUACAAAAUACUUAAUAUUAGAAAAAUAUAAAUCAUGAUGCCUUAAAAGCAUUUUUUUUUGUAUUUAAUCAAUUGUCUAAACCAAUAUUAAUCAAAUAAAUUAUCAACUAUUAAUGAAAUAUUUAGAACAGAUAAAUAAUAAUUUUGUAAACAUAUUUAAUUAAAUCAAAUCAAUAUAACAUGUUUAAAAUAUAAAUUGUUUGAAUGUACAUGACAAUGUUUGUAAUUAUUAUAUAUAUUUUUUACAAAUACACAGAAAUGUGACGACUCAUAUUGAUUUUUUUAAAACUAAAAAUUAAUAACAAAUAUAUUAAGAAUUACAAUAUAAAAAAUUUAAGUUAAAUCCAUUUACUACAAGACGAUAUUGUUAUGGCACUAAAGGAUAUAAAGGACUUUGCAUGGAUACCUAGAUGGAAACCACCAAUUGGGAAAAUGAAAAUAAACGUAGAUGGAAGCUAUGAUUUAUCACUCAGUACAUAUUGUCACAGGGAAGUCUAGAUAUAGGGAUCAAAAUUCUAUGUAGGUCUUUGGCUUUUCUUCUUGUAAUACAUCCAAAGCGGAAAUUUUGGUCAUUUUGCAUGUAAUUCAUAUGUAACAACUAUUUUAGAAUAUAAUAACAUGUCCUUGUAUUACAUAGUUCACUACAAAAUACAAAAUAAAUAAUAUAAACAAGUAAAAUAUCAUGGACAACCAAAUGUUUAGAAUAAGAAGAUGGAUACAAAUAAGCAAUGUUAUGUAUUGGAGAGUAGUAUAUACUUUACCAGUAAAUAAUUUCAACAUUGAAUAUAUCUAGCUAGAGUUGAUUGUUUGAUCCUGUGUCACUGUUUCAUCUGGAAAUAGAAUAGGUUUUGGAGGUAUUUCCAAGUCUUCAAUAUCUCCUUCAAGCAUUUCCACUACUCUAUUCAUUGAGGGUCGAUCAUUUGGUUUUAGUUGUAUACACCAUAGUGCAACUAUGAUCAUCUUCUUUGCUAUUUUAUUUUCUUCUUCUGUCACAUCUUCAAUAUCUGCAUCUUUCUCUUCCCUAAUAUGAUCAUAGAUCCAAAGGGGAAAGUAAAGUUGACUUGAGUGAUCUGCAUGAGGAUUUAGAUUCUUUCUCUUACUUGUCAUCUCCAUCAACAACAUUCCGAAGCUAUAAACAUCAGCCUUAUGGGAUAUUCCUCCAAUAUUUUUAUAAAACAAUUCAGGAGCCAUAUAUCCAAUGGUUCCUCUUGCUACAGUCAUUGUGACAAUGCUAUUAUCUAUUGGAUAUAACUUUGCCAAUCCAAAGUCAGAAACCUUAGGGAUGAAGUUUUCAUCUAGUAAGAUGUUAUGAGGUUUAAUGUCAAAAUGCAAAAUCUGCAUCUCACACCCAUGGUGGAGAUAAGCAAUCCCACGAGCCACUCCGAUUGAUAUAUUAUAUAUCUUUUCAUAGCUUAAAUGUAUAUUUCUCUCUUUUGAGAAAAUAAAUUUAUCAAGAGAUCCAUUGGGCAUGAAUUCAUAAACAAGAGCACGUUUUGAGCCACUAACACAAAAUCCAAUUAAUUGUACCACAUUUUGAUGAUGUAUUCUUCCAAUGGUUGCAACUUCACUGAUAAAAUCUUGUCCAUUUCCUUUGGAUUCGUUCAAUAUUUUGAUGGCCACAGAAGGUCCACUGCGCAACUUUGCCUUAAAAACAGAGCCAAAUCCUCCUUCACCUAACUUCUCUUUGAAACCUGCAACCAUCUUCUUGAUUUCCUUGAAUGAAUAUCUAAUAGGUGCAAAGCUAUUUUGUUCAAGGUAAUUUUCAAUAUUUUCAUACAUUGACAUAUGUCUUUUUCUCCAUUUACAUAUAAAAAUAACAAUUAAGAAUGGCAAUCCAAACAAAACUUUGUAAGCCCAUACCAUAAGAAUAAUUUGUUGGAGAUAUCCUGCAAGAAAUUUUUACUUGGGUGAUUACACAUGGUAUUGUAAAAUGAAAUAAAUUAUUUGUUAAAGUAUUUUUUGUUCACAAAAUCCAAACUUUACACAUCUAUAGUAACAUUACACAAAAGAGUAAAUUUAAUGUCUAUCACAAACAACUAUCAAUAAAUUUCAUUUUCGACAUUGGUAUCUAUAAAAUUGUAUGUAACAUUAAUAUUUCCUAAGACCUAAUUCAUAUGGUUGUAAAAUAAUACAAAUAUUUUUUUAAAAAAAAUUUCUUUAGUUUCUAUAAACUUUUUAAAUUCAAUUUGUGUUCCUCUAACAUAUUUAACAUAUUAAAAAUUAUAAUUAUUUAUCUUUAAGGUAAUUAACAUUUAAUAUCGAUCAUAAACCUUUAUUUAUAUCACUUUGAGGAUUAAAAUUUUAAAUUUUUAAAUUAGAUGAAGAAAAUAUGAGAAACUUUUGGACAAAUUAAAAUUGAAUUUUUAAAAUGUGGAGAAUGUAACUAAAACAUAGGUAAAUUAAGAUGAUAAAAUAUCAAUUAGAAUCAUGUUCAUCUCACUAACCAGACAAAAAAGACUUUGCAUUUGAACCUUUUAUAAAGGUUGUGUUCGAUUAGUAUAAAUCACAAUGUAAUAUACUUACAUAUUAUAAUGUGGUCUUAAGUUGAUGUUUGUAAUACACAUCCCUCGUGCCGAGGACACCGUGUGUUCAUAUCAAAGACAUUGAGCAUGAGAAUCGAGGGAAGCGUAAUAACGGAUAACACGAUAGGCUCAAAUCUCGACUAGAAUAAACUCUUAGUGACUUUGAUGUCAUAUAAGGAUAAUGAGUUUAAGUUUAACUCCACCUCACAAAGUUGGUUUAAUAAGGUGAGGUUUACCACCACUUAUAUACGAUAAUUUGGUCUUAUCUUUAUUCGAUGUGAGAUCUUCAACAAUGUGGUUAAAAUUUAUUAUCAAAUGUCCAAAACAAUGCUUAAAACAUAAUCAUCGUUGAAAAUAGCAAAUGAUGAUGGUUACAACGUAUAAUUAUCAUCACGUGUCUUUUAAUAUAUAGAAAUCAUGCCAACACAAAUAGUGUCAUUUUGUAACUUUUAAUGUUUUCUUCUUCUCCAUUGUAUUGCUCCCACCAUCGCCACUCCUUUGCAUUUGACCUAGUAAGAAAAUUUUAUUUUUAUGUCUUUUACAAUUAGAUAUUUGCUUUCGCUAAGUUUUUCUCAUGUACGAAUGAUGGAGAAAGAGGAUGUCUAGAGCUAGGGAACAAAAAGGAAAGCAAGACCUCUUCUUCACACAUUUUUUUUAAACUCUAACGAGUAUGAUAUGUGGAAAAUCUUCCAAAGUUGGGGAAGAGUUACUGGAAUGUUCAUAACUAGGAAACUAAAUGGGAGAGGACAAAGAUAUUACUUGGUGAGAUUUGUAGAGGUUGUCAAUGAAGUAGAAAUAUAAAAAAAGUAGACGCAAUUUGGAUAACAAGCAUGAAAAAUCACGUUGGUUGACCAAAAUACAAUAGGUUUGAAAAAAACAACAACCAGAACAAGAAUGAAGGGAUAAACAUAGAGCAAAGAAUCGAAAGAACAAAAAAAUGGGUGAAAAGGAAAAAUACUUUACUUAUGCACAAGCGGUAAAACGUGACACUAAGAAGGAAGGUAGAAAAGAUGCAAUGGAAGGAAUAUCGUUACAAGUGUAAUAGAAGGAGAAAAUGUGGAUAAAGAGAAGUUUUGAAGUUAGACUACAUGAUGCAAGUAAGAUGAAUAUGUUAAAUGAAAACUUUAUCCUAGGUGAGCUAGGAUUCAUCAUAAUAAGAUAUUUAAGGGAUAAUCAAGUGAAUCUCUCACCUGAUAAUGAAAUGAAUAUAUAUAAACAAUUGAGGAACACAAUGAAUGAUUUUCAAGCACGUUUGAGUCUUCUUGGUCAUCUCAAGAAACAUCGAGAAAUAAGAUCAUAUAGGUGCGGUGUAGAGGCAUACCAUUAUCCUUAUGGGGCAUCAAAUGCUUCAAAAGGAUUGUGGUUAUCAUUGGAAUGCUCAUCACAAUAAAAGAAUGUUGUUGAGUCUUGAGAAGUGUUAAAGUAUGUGAGAUUGUAGGUAUGUUUAGCAAUUAGGAGUUUCACUAUGAUGUAUUGGAAAAUCAAAGUCAACGGUUCAAUUAUCAAGUGUCGUGGGAAGAUGAUCUCACUACAACAACAACCAAGAAGGAACACAAAUUAAAAUAUUGGGGGAACAAACCAUCGUUAGCAACAAUAGAUGGGAUUAAAACAGAUUCAUUUGAGUCAAAAUGUUGGGAAAUUAAUUAUCUUGAUAUAGGAUAUACACAGGGUAAUGGGGAACAAACCACAAUGGAUGUAUCAAACAUUAAAAGGCCGACCACCAAAGAGAGCGACGCGAAGAUGAAAGGGCCGUUGGUGGGUAAUUACCAAGGGGAGAUCAAAUUUUAUAUCGUCCUUACUUUCCUUUUUUUGUGUUGCAUGUGACAUUUUGACUUCCCUGACUUCUACAUACCAUUUCUCUCAUUAUGAUUAAUAUUAUCAAGUACUUCCUCCUAUGAGUUCACCAUUUUUUCCUUCAUGGAUUUAUUCUCCUGCUUUAUUUCGAAACUUACUUGCCCAAUAAGGUUCUCAAGAAAUAAUUUUUGUUAGAUUUCCUUUCCCAAAUGCCACACUUGUACAUUGAAACCCCUAAUGAUGAAAUUUCUUCUUCCACUUAUACUUGAUAAACAAUAUCAUUGAUUUUCGUCUAUUUAUUAAUUUUUUCCUCAGCGUGGGUUUAUCUAUAGUUAUCAAGGUGUCAAUGGUUGUCAUUACCUUUUUUUAAAUAUUCUUGUCUCUACAAAGAUAAUAGUAUGUGUUGAACAUGGACUUUGAUGUCUCCAAAUCCAUGAAGAUUGGUUGAAGGCUUUGCUGCUGCUUGUGUGUGUGGGUUUUGGGUAGUUUGAAUUUGUAAUCCACUCAUAGAAUUGAUCAAAAGUUGUUUGAUUUUAAUGCAUUUGAAAAAGAUGUGUUUUCAAAGAGAAGUGGAAAAAUAACUAGUUGUUUUAUCGUUUUAAUCGGUUGUUUUACACUUAGAGUUUUUUGAAAGGAUUUGAAACUGUUUGACUUUACUGUCAAACCAAUUCAACCGGUUGUUUCGAAAAUUCAACCGAUUGAUCUUUGAAAAUCCUUAACAAAAUUAUGUUAAGUUGAUUUAAUCUGAUUUAAAUGAUUUUAACUGAUUUUGGAUCUUUCAUUAAUUGCUUUUAACAACUAUUUGGAGUAUAAAUAAGUGGUUAUACACUCCUGGUUGUUAAGAUUUCAAAUUAACAGUUUCAAAUCAGUUUUCCAAGAUUGCUUCAAGCUUUGGAUACUUUCUAAGAGUGGAAUAGGAUUGUUCUGUAAUUAAGAUUGUUUUGAUCUUUGAUCAUUAUCAGGUGUAUUCCAUUCUCUUUCAUUUGACUUGUAUUUCUGUAAAGUACUGUGUUGCAUAGAGUUAGAGGGUGUUCUGAUCUGUGGUGUGUUGUAAUUGUCAAAGGAAGUGUGUGUUCUUGAGGGGUUCAAGAUCACUUCUUUGGUGUGUGUGGUUUGUAAUAUGUGGUUGAUUACAUAUGGAAUACUCAGUGGUUUCUGGGGACUGGAUGUAGCUCUUAGCUUUUAGUUUUAAGUAUUUUUAUAAAUUGCUAAUAAAACCAACUGGUUGAAUCGCAUAAACAACCGGUUGAUUUUCUGGAAAUCAACUAAAACAGUUUUGUAACUUGUGCAUUUUCCUUCAUUUGACUUUGAUUCUUCAUUGGCUUUGUCCAUACCUUCAAAGUCUGCGGAAAAACAUUUAAAAACAUUUCACCCCCUCCAGUUUUAGGCCUAAAAUUCUCACAGUAGCCCUUAGGCCUAACCAAAACAACCUUGUUUUCUAAGAUAACUUGGUUUAAUUAUGGAAUCACUAAUUCAAAUGACAUUUAUAGUCAUUUGCUAUCUUCCUCUAUCGCCUUACUUACUUUGCUAUCCCAUAAAUUAUGCACUCUGAUGAAUUUCAAGCCAUCUAGAAAGAAAUUUUCUUUUAGCAUAUCCACCUUAUUGUUGUCAAGCAACCUUAUGAUAAAAGCUUUUCUUCAACCAUUAUUGCUCUUACUCAUUCACCAAAAAUUGUUUCGCUUCCAUCUACCUGUAUUAGUGUUCAUAUUGUUUUACAAUCUCACUUAUGCUCGUGACUAAUACUGAACUUUCCCCUUUACAUCAAAGUCCCCAUUAUUUUGCUUUUUGAAUUAGUUCCUUCGAGCUUACUUCACUUGAACACCAUUUCUUUGUUCCUUCAAUAUUUUGCUACCAAAUUUAGAAACUAAAUAAUUGGUAGUUAAAACAUUGAUAGCUAAUUAGAUACCAAAUUAGAAACCAUUUAACAAUAAUAGAAACUAAUUUAGAAACCAUUUUUUUUAGUUUUUAAAAUGGUCUCUAAUUUAGUUACUAUAGCAACUAAUUAUUUUUUAUUUCUAAAAUUAGUUUCUAUUUCAUGUUUUUCUUGUAGUGCAAGUGUCUUGAUAAUUUGAUUAUUUUUUUAUCUUAGAGUGUGUUUAAUAAUUUAUAUCACUAUAAGAAAAUCAUUAAAUAAAAAUUAAUUUUAGAAACUAAAAAUAAUUAGUUGUUAUAGUGACUAAAUUAGAGAUCAUUUUAUAAACUAAAAAAAAAUUGGUUUCUAAAUUAGUUUAUAUUAUUGUAAAAUGGUUUCUAAAUUGGUAUCUAACUAGCAAUUAAGAUUUUUGCUACCAAAUUUAGAAUCUAAAUAAUUGAUAGUUAAAACCUUGGUAGCUAAUUAGAUACUAAUUUAGAAACUAUUUAAUAAUAAUAGAAACUAAUUUAGAAACCAAAAAAGUUUGUAGUCUCUAAAAUGAUUUCUAAUUUAGUCAUUAUAACAACUAAUUAUUUUUUGUCUUUAAAAAUGGUUUCUAUUUCAUGAUUUUUUUAUAAUGUAUAUUCAUUAACAAUAUUUUGGACUUUAAUUAUGCAAUUAGAUAAAUUAUAUAUUGAUUCAAAAUGAUGUCAAACUAUUUCUUAUAAUUAUGUUUGUGAUGUAAUAUGAAGUAAGAUAAUUUGUAAAUAAUUGUGUUUAUGAAGGAUUUGUUUGGAAUUAGAUUGAAUGCAGGUUAAAGUUAUUAUCAAAACUGGGGAUGACAACGAGGAAAGGUGAGUGCAAGUUUGACUAUACACAUCCACAUUAACGAAGUAAAAAGUUAUUCUCAUCCUUGUCUUAUCCCAUUAGGUAUAAUUUUUUUUGUCUCAUUCUCAUCCUCAUUAGGUAAUGGGUGUAUCCAUAUUCACGCUCAUACUCGUUCUCACACUCUCCCGAAUAUUAAAUAAACAAUGUUCUUACAAAAAAAGAAAAAAAUCACAAUAAAGAAAAUAUGUUAUCAAAUAACAAUUACACGUAAUAAAAAUUUCAUAACAAUUUCAAUAUAUUGUUUUGAAAAUAUUGAGGAGAAAAUACCUUAGAGAUUUGAGUGAACUUGGUAAAUAUUAAGCAUGAUGAAUUGUUGAAAGAGAGAAUGAAAUUUUGUGUAACAAAAAAAAUAGUUCUUGAAAUGAAACAAAAUUAAGAAACAAGAAAAAAAAAAAAAUUUUAGGUUACCUAAUAAACUAAGAGUUUACAAAAUUUAAUUCGAUAAAAUUGAGGUUUACGUUUCCUAAAAUGUAAUUUAUCAUUUGAAGAAACUCACAUAAAGAAAAAAAAAUGUAUAAUUGAGAAUAUAAUUAAAGAGAAAAUACCUUGAGGAUUUGAGUGAACUUGAUAGAUAUUAAAUAGUUAAACGAUUGGGAGAGUAUGUAAAAUAAGAGUUUUUCAAAUGGAAUGAAACAAAAAGCACGGAUGAGAAUAACAAAAAUAAGUUUUCUAAAUUAUCUAAUAAAUUAAAAAUAUUUUAAUAAUUUAAAAUAAAGAUAAAUAUAAGAACAAGUACGAUGCAAAUAUAGACAUACUCAUUCUCGUCUCCAUACCCAAUUUAAAAUAUUAAGUAUUACUCAUCAUGCUCAAAGUUUAUUUAUAACCCAUUUUUAAAACAAAACAAAUAUUAUAAAAGUUAUACAUACAACAAAUUUUUUUACUAUAAUGAUCAUAUAUUACUUUCACCAAUUAUUCAUAUCAUAACCAAUCAUUGAAAGGGUUGAAAAUUUUGAAAAUAAAAUAAAAUUAAAAAAUAGAAGGUUUAAUUAUAAAUUAUUGUCGAAAGUGGUUGGACAACAAAGAUAAGGAUAAUGAAUUAGACCAAGAUAGUAGGAAGAUGAUGAAUGAGCUAUUUUGCAUAAUUACAUAAGUUAUUUUAUAAACAAGAAACCCUGGAGACUGAAUUGGUUAGAGAAAGGGGAUUUGAAUACAAAAUUCUUUACAAAAUAUGUUUAAAGGAUUGGUAAUUGGCACUUAAUGAUGUGAACAACCUGUUAUGAUUAAAAAGAAAUGAAGGAUGGAUUUAAGUUGCGAUUUUCUUAGCAUUAGGUUGGAUAACAUUGAUUUCCCUACCAUUAAUUCAGAGAAUAAUCUAUUUUUGACUGCUAUAAUCACAGGAAAUGAAAUAAAGGAAGUUGUUUGGGGAUGUGAUGGAAAAAAAUGCCUUAAGACGGAUGGCUAUAAUUUCAAUUUUCUUAAAAGAAAUUGGAGGGUUGUUAGUUAGGAUAUAUUCAACGCUAUUAAUAGAUUCUAUACCUUAGGAAAAUGACCUAAAGUACAAAUGUUUUUUAUCUGCCUAAUUCCUAAGAUUGACAACUCUCCAAAGUUGCAAGAUUAUAGAGCUAUCUCACUUAUAGGUUGUAUUUAUAAGAUAGUUUCUAAAAUUUUAGCAAAGAGGCCAUAAAAAGUUCUGUGUAAAGUGAUUGAUAUUAAACAAUCUUUUUUUUUUAAGGCAAUAAUGUCUUUUAGAUAGUAUGUAAUAGCCAAUGAAAUCAUACAUGAAGUAAAAAAAAAAGAAAAAAAAAGAUUCUUUCAUAGUUAAAGUGAACUUUGAGAAAACGUACAACUUAGUUGGAAUUUCCUAUUUUAUAUGAUGAAAAAGUUAGGCUUUAGCUACAAAUGGAUUAGGACUUGUUUAGAAUAAUCUACCGUCUCAAUGCUAGUAAAUGAUAGUCCUACGAUGAAUUUAAACUCGAAAAGGAGUUGAGACAAGGUGAUCCUUUAACCCAAUUUUUAUUCCUCACAAGUAGGAGGAGGAUUACCAGGAACUAUAAAACAAAUAGAGUGUAAGGGUAUGUUUGAUGAUAUCAAGAUAGACAAGGAUGAUAUUAACAUUAGUAUAAUAUAAUUUCCAAAUGACUACUUGUUUAUUUGCCAGGCCUUAACUAAGAAUAUUUUGGUAAUUAAAAGUAUUCUCAUAUGCUUUUGAAAUAGUCUCAUGUAUAAAAUUAAGUUAGGAGGCUUGAGAGUAAAAAUAUCUACCAUUCAUAGAUACUUUGAGUUGCUUAACUAUUGUAUUAUGGGAAUCCAUUUAAAUAUUUAUGCAUUCCCAUGUGGGGAAAUCAUAGAAAGAAGAAUUUUGGUUAGAUAUGAUAGCAAAAAUAAGAAAGAGGUUAACUAAAUGGAAAGGAAAACAUAUUUCCUUUUGCAAGUAGAAUUACCUUAAUAAUCAAGUUAGUGUUAUCAAUUGUGCCUUUAUAUUAUUUAUCUCUGUUUAAAAUGUCAAUACUUGUAUGAAAGCUGAUUGUUAAGGUUCAAAGAGAGUUUUGUGGGAUUGGGAUCAAGAAGGAAGAAGGAUUGCGUGGGUAAAUUGGGAAGAUAUUUGCAAAUCUAAAUUAGUAGGUGGUUUGGAGAUAAAAGAUUUAAGAUGUUUUAACCAGCGUCUGCUAGGUAAAUGAAAUGAGAUUAGGAAAUGAUAAGGAUGACUUAUGGGUGAAAAUUCUAAAAUAAAAAAUACCUUUCAUGGAGAUCUUUAAUUGAAAAUAAAAAGAAUAAAUGUGAGUACUUGUGGUGGAGAGAUAUUAGAAAAUUAAGUGGGUUUGAAAGGGGAAAAAAUGGUUUAGGGAGCAUAUUUUGUGGAAGGUUGGGUAGGGUAAUAUGAUCUUAUUUUUGAAUGAUACUUGGAUAGGGGAUAAGCCUUUAAGGGAGAAAUAUCCAAGAAUAUAUAGUAUUUUAAAACAAGAAAGAAAACUUAAAAUAAAGGAGUUUGGAUAACAUACCAUUGGACUUGGAAACUUAUAGGUAGAGGAGGGAUUGGUUUGAGUGAGAAAAACUAAUGGUCGACAAAUUGGUACAUAUUAUUCAGGAGAUUACAAUACAUAAAAAGAUCAACUAGAUGAGUGGGAGUGGAAGGGAGAUAGAACUUGUUGGAAUUCUAUGCAAUCUGCCUAUACAUAGUUUUCCCUUAUAAGAGAAUGAUGUAAAUUUUAAUUAUUUGUGGAAAGUUAAGGCAUUACUCAAACCUUAUUUUUUGUUUAAAGGGUAUUCUUGAAUAAAAUUUCUACAAUAGAUAACUUGCUCAAAAGAGGUAUCCAACUAGAAAGAACUUUGUGUGUUAUCUGUAAUCGUUUAGAAGAAACCAAAAUCCUGUUUACAUGUAGAAUUACAAAUCAAAUUUGGAACAUGUGUGAUGUGUGGUUAGGGAGAAUUAUGAUACAUCAUUGUAAUGCUAAACAACACUUAUAGAAAGGGUAAAUAGGAAGGGUAAUACAUCAUGUGGGUUUAAAUAGGAAGGGUAACCAAAUUUGGAAAGUUGUGUGGGUAGAUGCAAUGUGUAAUUGUGGAUACAUAGAAAUAAUGUUAUAUUUAAAAAUCUUAAACCAAAUGACGUAAAAAUCUAUUCUAUGGUAUAUGUUAAAUCGUGGGCAUGGAUAACGAAGAAGUACACUAAGAUCAUAAAAUCUUAACGUUAAACACCUGUGUUUUUUAUUAGGCUACAUAGCCUAGAUCCUUCAAUGUAGUUCUAUGUAGGAAAAGUGUAACUUUUGUGCAUCCUUGGUUAUGUGUGUAUCUGGGCUCUAGGCAACAAAAGCUUAAAUCAGUGCUCUAUGGAUUACAAACAUAAUGGAACCUAGAACAUAAUCCUGGACAAUUGUUGAGCAAAUUAUUAUACUCUGUAAUAAAUUAUGUAGCCUUUAGUUCAAAUUUGCAUGUCCAUUAUUUCAACUCAUAGAUUGAAACAAGGAAUAACGAGUAGUGCGAAUUUUACAUCUGUUUUUGUGUGCAGAGGGGCUACAAACUGGUUUAGAUCACUGUCUGGUGUAAGGGUGCUUCAUAUGUGUAUUAAUUGUAGCUAGGAUUACAACUACUUUCUGUUGAGGUGUUGAAAGGUCUACCAGCCUAGUAAUUAUUUUUUGACAUAAGGGUUUGGACUCUGUAAAGUCUCCUCAUUUUAUAUAUUUUUUAUUAUUGAUAAAAAAAGUGGUUGAAAUUUUUUAAAAACAAAAUAAAAUUAAGAAAAAAAUACACUGACUGUACGUGGGCAAAUCUUUUUUUUUAACAACAUUUAUAUUAAUGAAAAUUUCAGAAGUCCUAUUAAAAUUCUAUUUUAAUAAUUGUUAAAAGCUAUACUCCAGUUGUGUAAUUAAAGCAUUGAGAAAUUAAGAUGAUAAAAUCUUACCUGGUUCUAUUAUUGUCUCUAGCAAUUCCAGUAUUGUAUGAAAACCCUCUGAAAUGAAGUAAAAUGUGACUUUAUAAUAGUCUCAACAGUUAUUCAAAAAAGAAUAUUUUCAGAUUUUGAUAAAGGUUAUAGCGGUCAAUAAGUUUAACAGUUAUUUAUUUUAAAAAUAAUAAAUAUUUAAUUUAAUGCUUAUGUUCUUAUAAAUACAUGUAAAACAUAAAAAAUAAAAAAAAUACCAUUUUUUGUUCUAAAAGUUCGUUGAAUUAUUAGAAUGAUAUUUUGAAGAUAAUAAUAUAUGUAAAAUGAAACAUAAAAUAUAGAUGACUGAAAGUUUGUUUUGAAAAAUUCUGAAAAAGUGGUUAACAGAUUAUCAUUUGAAAAUAUAUAAUUAUGUAAAAUAUGUCUUAAUAUUUGGUUUAGGAUCACUCACCGCAUUUAAGCUUCUGGUUAGAAGAGGCGAAAUAGCAGAAUCGAUGUGGACAAAGGUUCUGACAGGCGAGUUCUAUCCAUGAAAUCUCGAAUCCAUAGUUGAGUGCGGUGUGCAUGGAAGAGUAGGAAUGGUUAUCGAAAGUGGAGAGAGAAGUGGGAGCAACAAGCUUUACCUCACACCCAACUUCUAAGUCCUCUGCUUUUAGGUCUCCACCAAUUGCAUAUGCAUACCCCUUCCCCUCCCACUUCACCCACUCUCCACUCUCCACAUACUUCCCUUUCUCUCCCACCGAAUGGU